CUUCAGCGACCCCAGCCACAGCGGCCGGUCCUCGGCCCGCCCCUGCCCGUAUGUCGCGAUCAGGGCCUGCGCCUC
Streptomyces sp. AcH 505 is the source of this 75-nucleotide non-coding RNA. The record is from Rfam. Lineage: Bacteria; Bacillati; Actinomycetota; Actinomycetes; Kitasatosporales; Streptomycetaceae.